RNAcentral lists this ribosomal RNA (253 nucleotides) under uncultured bacterium. RNAcentral describes it as "partial 16S ribosomal RNA". It matches the Rfam family "Bacterial small subunit ribosomal RNA", at positions 524 to 776 of the family's 1533-position model. The record is from RNAcentral.
UACGGAGGGUGCGAGCGUUGUCCGGAAUCACUGGGCGUAAAGGGCGCGUAGGUGGCGCGAGGAGUCUGUGGUGAAAGCCCGAGGCUCAACUUCGGGUCGGCCGCGGAUACUCUCGUGCUGGAGGGUGGUAGAGGCCAAUGGAAUUCCGGGUGUAGCGGUGGAAUGCGUAGAGAUCCGGAAGAACACCGGUGGCGAAGGCGGUUGGCUGGGCCGGAACUGACGCUGUAGAGCGAAAGCGUGGGGAGCGAACAGG